RNAcentral lists this long non-coding RNA (343 nucleotides) under Mytilus galloprovincialis (Mediterranean mussel). The record is from RNAcentral. Lineage: Eukaryota; Metazoa; Mollusca; Bivalvia; Mytilida; Mytilidae.
CUUGGAUUUAUGCCUGACAUUUAACGAAAAUAUAAUAAUAGAAUAUUCAUUUUUUUUUCUCAUUGAAAUAUAAAACAUGAUAUUAGAUUAAAAUGUCUCCUCCUUUAAGGGCUGUUUGUGUGUAGUAACAUGACCUGGUGGUAAUGUAUUCGCUGGAGCAGGUUUCUGAAGAAAAGAAUUAAAUAAAUAUAAUUACCACAAGUUUUAGAAAGUAGAGUCUAUUUGGUCCUGUCUUGUUAAAAUUUUUAGACCAAAAAUACAGGUAUAUUUUUUUUAAUUUUCUGUCAGACCAUGUUGAUUGAAAACUAAUUUACAUUAAAAAUAUUGAGAAGUUGAUACGGCC